GAUGAACGCUGGCGGCGUGCCUAAUACAUGCAAGUCGAGCGAACAGACGAGGAGCUUGCUCCUCUGACGUUAGCGGCGGACGGGUGAGUAACACGUGGAUAACCUACCUAUAAGACUGGGAUAACUUCGGGAAACCGGAGCUAAUACCGGAUAAUAUAUUGAACCGCAUGGUUCAAUAGUGAAAGACGGUUUUGCUGUCACUUAUAGAUGGAUCCGCGCCGCAUUAGCUAGUUGGUAAGGUAACGGCUUACCAAGGCAACGAUGCGUAGCCGACCUGAGAGGGUGAUCGGCCACACUGGAACUGAGACACGGUCCAGACUCCUACGGGAGGCAGCAGUAGGGAAUCUUCCGCAAUGGGCGAAAGCCUGACGGAGCAACUCCGCGUGAGUGAUGAAGGUCUUCGGAUCGUAAAACUCUGUUAUUAGGGAAGAACAAAUGUGUAAGUAACUAUGCACGUCUUGACGGUACCUAAUCAGAAAGCCACGGCUAACAACGUG
This 497-nucleotide ribosomal RNA is filed under the name uncultured bacterium. Its description in RNAcentral is "partial 16S ribosomal RNA". It matches the Rfam family "Bacterial small subunit ribosomal RNA", at positions 28 to 507 of the family's 1533-position model. The record is from RNAcentral.